This 74-nucleotide transfer RNA is filed under the name Candidatus Methanoperedens sp. RNAcentral's name for it is "tRNA-Val". It matches the Rfam family "tRNA". From Rfam's summary of the family: Transfer RNA (tRNA) molecules are approximately 80 nucleotides in length. Their secondary structure includes four short double-helical elements and three loops (D, anti-codon, and T loops). The record is from RNAcentral. Lineage: Archaea; Methanobacteriati; Methanobacteriota; Methanomicrobia; Methanosarcinales; Candidatus Methanoperedentaceae.
GGGCUCGUGGUCUAGCCGGUUAUGACACCGCUCUCACACAGCGGAGGUCCGGAGUUCGAAUCUCCGCGGGCCCA